UGGGGUGUCUGCGGACACUGCAGAAGAGUU
RNAcentral lists this non-coding RNA (30 nucleotides) under Mus musculus (house mouse). Lineage: Eukaryota; Metazoa; Chordata; Mammalia; Rodentia; Muridae. The record is from RNAcentral.